AUACAUAUUUGAAUGGUUGCCAAGC
This 25-nucleotide unclassified non-coding RNA is filed under the name synthetic construct. RNAcentral's name for it is "target RNA from synthetic construct (PDB 7VTN, chain C)". The record is from RNAcentral.